Molecule: non-coding RNA, 685 nt
Organism: Pogona vitticeps (central bearded dragon)
Lineage: Eukaryota; Metazoa; Chordata; Lepidosauria; Squamata; Agamidae
Source: RefSeq, a predicted model, not a curated record
UAUAAAGUGGCAAAACAGUCUAGAGGUUUCCCCUUUUAAAGUUGUGCAUCUAAGUGGUAAUGUGUGAAUGAUAUAACCAGAGGUUUGAGAAGACAGGCCCUGUGCAAGGAGUCACAUCAGAGAGAUGGGAUCAGAUACAAUUCCCCGACAGCCCAAGUUUACACACCACCAGCUGUGGAAGGUAAAGCGCCAGGCCCACCACUGAGCCCCCAACCCAUUGUGCCCAGUGCUACCAAAGAAGGGAGGUUCUUGGGAAAGAUGUCCUCUGAAACAUCAAUUCCCACCUUGUCCUGUUUGAAGGGAUGUCUAGCUGAAGUCCACUUUCAAGAUGAAGAACCCAAACACAUGCUCACACAUUUUGCUGCCUGAGGCAAGAGAAACAUGGCAUCCCUUUUAUAUACAGAAGGAGUCAAGACUACAACCAACAGGACACUGUUUUCUGGCAUGACCGUAGCCAACAGGCCACACAACACAUACCUCAGAGACAGAUGGAGUGGUGGCAUCCCCUAAUGUAUCAUAUUUAAUUUUGGAAAGGUGUUUGUUAAAAGACAUGUGCUUAAAGAACUGACUUGAGGCAUCAACCAACUAAUCAGCAGCACUACAUUUUGUUUUAACUUGAUACAGAUUAAACUGGAAAGACCACACCAUGACUGACACCUUCUAAAAACUAAUGUACAUCUAUUGU